RNAcentral lists this non-coding RNA (404 nucleotides) under Spyridia filamentosa. Lineage: Eukaryota; Rhodophyta; Florideophyceae; Ceramiales; Spyridiaceae. The record is from RNAcentral.
GGGGCUGUUAGGUUUCUACAUAUUUUGUAUUGUAGUAGAUUAAAUUAUUGAGAAAUAGUUAUAUUGUUAAUGUAAAUUUAUACUUAGCAACUUAUAUAAUAUAAAUGCAAAACAUCAAAUUAAUCCUUUGUCUAAAACUCUUAAAUUAGUGAAUUUAUGCUAAUUUUUAGACUUUAAUUAUCAUAUCUUGAUAUAUAAUUAAUUUUUUAAUCAAGUGCUCUUAAGUAAAUGCUUUAUAAUAUUUGACUUAUUAUAUCAAUUAUUUUGAUUUAUUUAAGAUAAGUUAAAAAUAAAAAACAUGUCGCACUAAAUUAAUAUAUUUUUCUCAUUAAAAUUAUUGUUACAAUAAAAUAAUUUAAUAUACUGAAUAAAUAUGGACGUGGGUUCGAAUCCCACCAGCUCCA